This is a long non-coding RNA of Cloeon dipterum, 2463 nucleotides long. RefSeq lists it as uncharacterized. Lineage: Eukaryota; Metazoa; Arthropoda; Insecta; Ephemeroptera; Baetidae. The record is from RefSeq and is a predicted model, not a curated record. The transcript has 2 exons.
UGUGCCGUCGCUCGCAGAAUUUAACGGCGGAUUUAACGAACACCAGUUUUAGUUCGCAAGUCCCAUAGCGGCUGAGAUAAAAUAUUCGGAAGGUGCAAAAACGUGGUGUGGACAAUAAUUAUUUUUUUUCGGGGGGCCCGCACACGGGCCCACGGGGCCCGACGGCCCGCCGCUAUCACUCAUUCGAAAUAAGCUACGAUUAGCUUCAUUUUUAUGUUCAGUUUCACCAUCCUGCUUCAACGGCGCCCGAGAUACGAGGGCCGAAAGAAUAAAAACAGGGCAAAGUCGAAAUUCCCAUAAGGAAUGCAUCGGAGCCCACUUUGUUUGGGAUCAAAAUUCCAAGAUAGCCAAUCUUUAAGUUUGCCCAAAAACAAAUGCCCUGCGAGUAUGAAAUCCGGGUGACCUCCUCAGGGUCACCGGUGACCCCUCAAAGUUCGAAAACGCGAUUUUUCGGUACUCGCGCCCCCCGCGGGGUCCCUAUGGGCCCCAGCAACCCCAAACUCGAGAUUCGAGCAGGCGACGAGUGGACGAAGCCAACGGUGCUCGGAAAACAUUUUUCCGCACCAUAGCAAAAAAGUUAUUAAACGGGCAAAUUUGCCCAUUUCCUACCUGAGUACCUUUCGGCAGGUAUAUCUCCGGACCUGAGCAAGAUUUCUCGCAAAACGCAACCAACUUAAUGCGCAAUUUAUCUGCGAGUGUUUUAAGACCAAAUUCGACCUGAUCGGAUGAACAACCGCGGAGGAGUAGCGUUUGGCGCGCGGCGCGGAACGGUUUUUCGCCUCCCAUAAGCUUAACAUGGGGAUUUCGAAUUCGGGUUUUCGGGCUGCAAAAAAAAUUUUCGGCCACGAUGACCACCCCACUCUCAUUCGCAUGGCGAACAGUGCCUGCAAACCGAUUUUGGCCGAAAUCUGGGCCAUAGGCGAAUUACGGCGGAGCAUUGAAAAUCCGCGUUUUGCUCAGCACGCAAAUGGCCAUGCUGAAAAUACGCGCGGCGGCGCCGCGGAGCCGCCGGGCGCUGAACAUCGAAUUUGACCAUCGGAUUCACACGAGUGCGUGCGCACGUGUCUGAAACCGAAUUUUCAGCGGUCUAGCUCUGCCCAAAUUCAUUUUAUAAGGGAUUUUCGGUUUUUGGUGUGCAAAGCGCAUGCACGGAAGGAGGUUCGUGCGGUGCGGCACCGAGCCACACAGAUUUAUUUUUGCCAAAAUUCGAGUAUUCACCGCGGCGUCGACCGCGACCCCUCAUUCGAAAGUGCUCGCCAAGCACUUUAACCUGGCGUGCCCAAACGACCUUUCUCAGGGUCCCCCGACCUGAAACCCUUACCCAGGUAGAAUUUUAACGAAUUUUUCGCGGUUUGUGCGUCAGUUCGAGAGUGAAAGUGCGGAGCCACCGCGCGGCGCCGCCAACAAUAAGUUUGCCGUGCGGCGAAGCACUUUUCGGCAAAGCGCUUUUCCGCGACUCGCCGAGCGGCGCCGAAUGCCAGUUUUUUUCGAAUUGCACGAAUCAACCUGAACCGCACCGCGCAAAUUCAGCCCCCGCCGCGAUCGUUUUUGAUUUUCAACAUCUGCCAAUCACUCGAACGGAGCGCCUCGGCUUUUUCCGUCUAACAAUUAUUGUACCAGUGGAGCGAUUUUCGCGCGCGACCCCUCCCCGGAAGCGUCUCGCCGGGGCGCACACCCCCACCCAUCCCGGCGACCUUUCUCAGGGUGGCCGCCCUGAGCUCGCUCCCCGAGCCGGUUUUCUCGGCGUUUCCGGCCCCCGCCCUCGAUCGGGUUUGGGGGGAAUCCGAGUUAGCCCCCGACCCCGAGUGGGCCCCCGCCACCAAGCGCAAGCGCUGAAGCGCUUGUGCCGCUUGUAAUAUACUAUAUUAUAUAUGUAUGAGUUACAUAAAACGGCUAGCUAGCAGAGACAUCCCCGCAGUCAAAGCCGCAGUCACUUGCAUUCAUGAACUUGUAUUAUAGUGCGUGCAUCUCGUUCUAAUCAUGUCUCAAGAACCAACGGAUCAGGUAAUUUUUUUGUGAUUUAUCAAAUUCUUUUCGACAAAUUCAAAUUGGAAAUUUCCUCUAGGAUUGCUUCGGACCGAAUAGUGAAUACCUCAAGCUCAUCUCUUCGGAAGGGGCGGUCCUUGUGAAAAGAACGGACGCUUUGAAAGUAUCUGGCUUCAUAAGGUACCUGUUGGAGAAUCCGGCUUUGGAACCACUCAAGGAUGACGAGUUAAAUGAAAUAAAGUUUACCCAAUUCUCGUCGAAAGUGCUCAAAAAGGUUUGUGACUUCAUUAAGUACAAGGCGCGCGUCAUGAAAAUGAAUGAGAGCUUGAAGAUCGCAGAUUUUCCUCUCACGGUUGAGGAGGCUGCAGAAGUCAUUUAUGCGGCUGAAUACUUACAAUGCUGAAUAUUGGGGGUUAAACUGGUGUUGUUCUUUUUCAUAUUAUUAUAAAUAAAGCGGUAUUAGGUAAUAAACUAAAA